AGUGGCGGACGGGUGAGUAACGCGUGAGAAUCUGCCUUGGGGUCGGGGACAACCACUGGAAACGGUGGCUAAUACCGGAUAAGCCGAUUGGUGAAAGAUUUAUUGCCCGAAGAGGAGCUCGCGUCUGAUUAGCUAGUUGGUGAGGUAAGAGCUCACCAAGGCAGCGAUCAGUAGCUGGUCUGAGAGGACGAUCAGCCACACUGGGACUGAGACACGGCCCAGACUCCUACGGGAGGCAGCAGUGGGGAAUUUUCCGCAAUGGGCGAAAGCCUGACGGAGCAAGACCGCGUGAGGGAGGAAGGCUCUUGGGUUGUAAACCUCUUUUCUCAGGGAAGAAGCUCUGACGGUACCUGAGGAAUCAGCCUCGGCUAACUCCGUGCCAGCAGCCGCGGUAAUACGGAGGAGGCAAGCGUUAUCCGGAAUUAUUGGGCGUAAAGCGUCCGCAGGUGGCGAUUCAAGUCUGCUGUCAAAGCACGGGGCUUAACUCCGUAAAGGCAGUGGAAACUGAAUAGCUAGAGUGCCGUAGGGGUAGAGGGAAUUCCCGGUGUAGCGGUGAAAUGCGUAGAGAUCGGGAAGAACAUCGGUGGCGAAAGCGCUCUACUGGACGGCAACUGACACUCAGGGACGAAAGCUAGGGAGCGAAUGGGGAUUAGAUACCCC
This 660-nucleotide ribosomal RNA is filed under the name uncultured bacterium. RNAcentral's name for it is "bacterial SSU rRNA". It matches the Rfam family "Bacterial small subunit ribosomal RNA", at positions 94 to 788 of the family's 1533-position model. The record is from RNAcentral.